RNAcentral lists this ribosomal RNA (1577 nucleotides) under Salmonella enterica. RNAcentral's name for it is "partial 23S ribosomal RNA". It matches the Rfam family "Bacterial large subunit ribosomal RNA", at positions 1382 to 2925 of the family's 2925-position model. The record is from RNAcentral. Lineage: Bacteria; Pseudomonadati; Pseudomonadota; Gammaproteobacteria; Enterobacterales; Enterobacteriaceae. RNAcentral also lists the same sequence under 1 other name.
AGUCGACCCCUAAGGCGAGGCCGAAAGGCGUAGUCGAUGGGAAACGGGUUAAUAUUCCCGUACUUGGUGUUACUGCGAAGGGGGGACGGAGAAGGCUAUGUUGGCCGGGCGACGGUUGUCCCGGUUUAAGCGUGUAGGUGUGUGUUCCAGGUAAAUCCGGUUCACUUUAACACUGAGGCGUGAUGACGAGGCACUACGGUGCUGAAGCAACAAAUGCCCUGCUUCCAGGAAAAGCCUCUAAGCAUCAGGUAACAUCAAAUCGUACCCCAAACCGACACAGGUGGUCAGGUAGAGAAUACCAAGGCGCUUGAGAGAACUCGGGUGAAGGAACUAGGCAAAAUGGUGCCGUAACUUCGGGAGAAGGCACGCUGACACGUAGGUGAAGUGAUUUACUCAUGGAGCUGAAGUCAGUCGAAGAUACCAGCUGGCUGCAACUGUUUAUUAAAAACACAGCACUGUGCAAACACGAAAGUGGACGUAUACGGUGUGACGCCUGCCCGGUGCCGGAAGGUUAAUUGAUGGGGUCAGCGCAAGCGAAGCUCCUGAUCGAAGCCCCGGUAAACGGCGGCCGUAACUAUAACGGUCCUAAGGUAGCGAAAUUCCUUGUCGGGUAAGUUCCGACCUGCACGAAUGGCGUAAUGAUGGCCAGGCUGUCUCCACCCGAGACUCAGUGAAAUUGAACUCGCUGUGAAGAUGCAGUGUACCCGCGGCAAGACGGAAAGACCCCGUGAACCUUUACUAUAGCUUGACACUGAACAUUGAGCCUUGAUGUGUAGGAUAGGUGGGAGGCUUUGAAGCGUGGACGCCAGUCUGCAUGGAGCCGGCCUUGAAAUACCACCCUUUAAUGUUUGAUGUUCUAACGUGGACCCGUGAUCCGGGUUGCGGACAGUGUCUGGUGGGUAGUUUGACUGGGGCGGUCUCCUCCUAAAGAGUAACGGAGGAGCACGAAGGUUGGCUAAUCCUGGUCGGACAUCAGGAGGUUAGUGCAAUGGCAUAAGCCAGCUUGACUGCGAGCGUGACGGCGCGAGCAGGUGCGAAAGCAGGUCAUAGUGAUCCGGUGGUUCUGAAUGGAAGGGCCAUCGCUCAACGGAUAAAAGGUACUCCGGGGAUAACAGGCUGAUACCGCCCAAGAGUUCAUAUCGACGGCGGUGUUUGGCACCUCGAUGUCGGCUCAUCACAUCCUGGGGCUGAAGUAGGUCCCAAGGGUAUGGCUGUUCGCCAUUUAAAGUGGUACGCGAGCUGGGUUUAGAACGUCGUGAGACAGUUCGGUCCCUAUCUGCCGUGGGCGCUGGAGAACUGAGGGGGGCUGCUCCUAGUACGAGAGGACCGGAGUGGACGCAUCACUGGUGUUCGGGUUGUCAUGCCAAUGGCACUGCCCGGUAGCUAAAUGCGGAAGAGAUAAGUGCUGAAAGCAUCUAAGCACGAAACUUGCCCCGAGAUGAGUUCUCCCUGAGACUUAGAGUCUCCUGAAGGAACGUUGAAGACGACGACGUUGAUAGGCCGGGUGUGUAAGCGCAGCGAUGCGUUGAGCUAACCGGUACUAAUGAACCGUGAGGCUUAACCUUACAACGCCGAAG